This 824-nucleotide long non-coding RNA is filed under the name Chrysolophus pictus (golden pheasant). Its description in RNAcentral is "lncRNA (ENSCPIG00010012751.1)". The record is from RNAcentral. Lineage: Eukaryota; Metazoa; Chordata; Aves; Galliformes; Phasianidae.
UGGUGGGCUGUUAAAUGAUACGUCCUACUGCUACACCCUGGAAGUCUCAUUCUACAGCUACAUCGUGGGUGGAACUACUGCUGCUGUCCCUUACACAGAAGAAGCAUAUAUGAAGCUUGGAAGGAAUGUGGCCAGGACAUUCUUGGACUAUUACAAGCUGAACUCCUUGGUGGAAAGACCACUGGCAGCAACUCCUAAAACUCGGAAAGAAAAGCUGCCAGUCUUUAAAUGCAACACCCAGCAAGGCCAGGGGACCAGCCAUGCUGACAGCAAGCCAGAGAAGAGAAGCCAGGCACACCUGAAGGACCAAUCGCUCCCUGCACAAUGAGAGGAGAAGAGAGGAAAGGAGGGCUGGACUGUGUGGCGAGGAGGAGGAGUGCAGCUGGAGCUGGAAAUGCUGAUAUUUCUCUUUUUUUUUCCCAGAUAAAUAUUUCUAAGGUAACAAAUAGUCCAAAGGGGAACGAAGGAGAGGGAAAUUAGCUAGAAAUUUUACCAUUGAUUCUUUUUUAUUUAUAGACGGUAAAUCAAUUUCAAGCCUUUUUUUUUUUUAGCUCUCAUCUCUGGGAAGAAAAAAAAGAAAAAAAAGAAAAAAGAGUGACCCAAUAGAUCUAGAGAAAUCAUUUGCGGUGGCUGAAAAGCUAUUUGUUAAAAUGAAAAAGUCUCCCCUUCCUCCACCAGCCCCUCUCUUUCAAAAAUUUCCCUCUCUUUUAAGGGGUAAUCCAUGCAAUGAGCAAAUGAGGGAGUCCUGGCUCCCCUGCUUCACCAUGUGAUGUCUCCCCAUUUAGUGUCAGGCUCAGAAGCUUUUAUGCCAAUUGCAUGUCCUA